CAGCCGCCGCGGGAAUACGUAGGGUGCAAGCGUUAAUCGGAAUUACUGGGCGUAAAGCGUGCGCAGGCGGUUUGUUGAGACAGAUGUGAAAUCCCCGGGCUCAACCUGGGAACUGCAUUUGUGACUGGCAAGCUAGAGUGUGGCAGAGGGGGGUGGAAUUCCGCGUGUAGCAGUGAAAUGCGUAGAUAUGCGGAGGAACACCGAUGGCGAAGGCAGCCCCCUGGGCCAACACUGACGCUCAUGCACGAAAGCGUGGGGAGCAAACAGGAUUAGAUACCCGAGUAGUCCCUGUCUCUUAUAC
Molecule: ribosomal RNA, 301 nt
Filed under: uncultured bacterium
Lineage: Bacteria
Description: partial 16S ribosomal RNA
Rfam family: Bacterial small subunit ribosomal RNA
Source: RNAcentral